Molecule: long non-coding RNA, 833 nt
Organism: Cornus florida
Lineage: Eukaryota; Viridiplantae; Streptophyta; Magnoliopsida; Cornales; Cornaceae
Exons: 3
Source: RefSeq, a predicted model, not a curated record
UGGAACUUUUAGAAGUCGAACCUAUUAAUUUAGGGCUCCGAUCGACCGCUCUGCUUCCGAUCUUCGUCAAUAUGGGUAGCAGAUGACAUUCGUAUCCGAGAAAUACCGAAUACAUUCGAAAAUUCAGAAGUUAGUUGCACAAAGUCUCACCAUCAUUAUCUACGAUUCCGUCGUUAAUCAGCUUCGGAAUCCUGAAUAUCAAAGCCAGCAGUGCCGCUGCUGCAGGCCAGAAGACUGCUCCCUUGAUUCCCAUCUUCUCCGCAACUUCGAGGGCCCAUCCCAUACUCUCAUCUGAAAUAAUGCAAGUGAUCUUAUCAUUAUCUGAUCCAUUAAUAUUUUCUAUGAGCUCCUCCAGCUUUCCAGGCAUGACCUGGAAGAUUGCUUCUGAUAGCUUCCCCAGGUCAUUCCUAUCCUCCGAUAGUUCUAUCCCGUCUGGGAUUGAAACAAGAUGUAUCUGAUCUCCUAUGUUAUUCUUCUCUGACAAUGCAUUCAUGACCCUCUUGUGAUUAAACUCAGUGUUUACAAAUGUGACUCUGAAACCGUGUUUGACUAAGCACUGUGCAAGCUCCAUCAGGGGAAUCACAUGGCCUUGUGCUGGAUAAGGUAGCCUGCAGGCGUGACGGAGGAGCCUAUGUUUACAGUAUUGUCCAUUUGCUUUAGUGAGUUUCAGUUGGGGAAUAUUCUCUUCUUUGUCACAUUGCCAUAUCUAAUAUCAGCUUGUCCUUCGUUGUUAGAUUUGCUGUUAUUAUUUGGUAACUUUGGUUUAUUCCCCUGUCUUUAUACUGAUUCCUUCGGUGGUAUCUUCAUUUUAGUCGACUUCUAUUGUUUUGUCA